UACGGAGGGGGCUAGCGUUGUUCGGAAUUACUGGGCGUAAAGCGCGCGUAGGCGGACCUGCAAGUCGGGGGUGAAAGCCCGAGGCUCAACCUCGGAACUGCCUUCGAUACUGCGGGUCUCGAGUCCGGGAGAGGGUGAGUGGAAUUCCUAGUGUAGAGGUGAAAUUCGUAGAUAUUAGGAAGAACACCAGUGGCGAAGGCGGCUCACUGGCCCGGUACUGACGCUGAGGCGCGAAAGCGUGGGGAGCAAACAGGG
Molecule: ribosomal RNA, 255 nt
Filed under: uncultured bacterium
Lineage: Bacteria
Description: partial 16S ribosomal RNA
Rfam family: Bacterial small subunit ribosomal RNA
Source: RNAcentral